Molecule: ribosomal RNA, 491 nt
Filed under: uncultured bacterium
Lineage: Bacteria
Description: partial 16S ribosomal RNA
Rfam family: Bacterial small subunit ribosomal RNA
Source: RNAcentral
AAUCAACGCUGGCGGCGUGCCUAACACAUGCAAGUCGAGCGAGAAAAGGGGGGCAACUCCCUGAGUAAAGCGGCGCACGGGUGAGUAACACGUGGGUAAUCUGCCCUGGAGUGGGGAAUAACACCGGGAAACCGGUGCUAAUACCGCAUACGAUAGCGAGGUCUUCGGACUUUGUUAUGAAAGGAGCAAUUCGCUCCAGGAGGAGCCCGCGGCUGAUUAGCUAGUUGGUGAGGUAACGGCUCACCAAGGCUACGAUCAGUAUCCGGUCUGAGAGGACGGUCGGACACACUGGAACUGAGACACGGUCCAGACUCCUACGGGAGGCAGCAGUGGGGAAUUUUUGGCAAUGGGGGCAACCCUGACCAAGCAACGCCGCGUGGGUGAUGAAGUCUCUUGGGACGUAAAACCCUUUCGACAGGGACGAAAGCCGCAAGGUUUGACGGUACCUGUAGAAGAAGCCCCGGCUAACUCCGUGCCAGCCGCCGCGGUAA